UGGGCAUAGCCCGGGGCUGUGCCGCAGUAACUGGGCAACACGGACACAAAACCCGGCAGGAAGCGGCGCAGCCCAGGAGUGCACCUCCUGCCCAGUGGAAAAACGAGAAUUUAUGGUCCUUGGAAACAUAAAACUGCCCAGGGGAAAGCAGAAGCCAAGCAGGGAGUACAAUAGGCAAGGAGAAUGCUGGCAACGGACCCAAAGUCUUUUUUUCUCAUUUAAAUUAGCUCUUUCCCCCCAAGCAAGCUCUCUGCAGGCCAUCCCCGCGCAGUGACCUGGGGGGUGCCAGGGGCAGCCACAGCGAGGACGCAGGGUCACCGCUGUCACGCAGGAUUUACAAUUUCCUUGUUGGCGCUCCGGCUGUGCUGCCUGCUGCCUGGGGAGCCGGGGAGGACUGGGGAUUGUGCGGUGGUGCCGGGAGGAAGGACAGCCUGCAGGCUCAUGCACCCAGAAGGUCUCCCCGUGCUCUGGCCUGGUCUCCACCGCACACAGAAAGACCCAGUACGUGGGUGCUUUCCUGCCCAUCAGCUCUGCACAUAGCUCUGGGAGACGCAGGCAGCAGGCACAGGCUCCCUGGGGAGCUCCACGCUCCUUCACCAGGUCUCCACCUACACCUCAGGCCCGCGGUCGGUCUGUGUACAACCACCCCACGGUGCCGACAGCCCUGACCACAGCCUGAGCUGCAGAAACUUGCAGCCUCGGCUUUGAUCAGUGCUGGCGAGGAACACAGGGGUUAGGCCAGGCCCCAGUGACUGAUUUAUGGGGCUGCUGCGGGCUGCCUGGAGCCAGUGCCCCACGCGUGGUGGUUCUGCUCAGGUGCAGGAGCUGGAGACAACUUGUCAAAUAUCUGUGUUCAAAGUAUUAAUGGGAAAAUCCAGUCUAGAGCUCAACGUUUCUUCAACACACCUCAGCCAAGGUAUGCAAAACCAUCUGCUUCCUGGCAAUGGCUCGGUCCAGCAGGCAGGCAAUGGCUUAUUUGAGACGGGAGGUGGAAGCAGGGGUACUGGCAGGCUCGUACAGGGCAGGGGACGGACUCCAGAAUAAUGGAGCCCUGGCACUUGGAUCUAGCUGGAGGACAGCCCCUGUCCUCCACAGCCUCUCACCAAGCCCAGCUCCACGCCACGGCUCUCUCUUGGUGGGCUGUGCUGAUACCUUGGGUUAUUCUCAUUUUGACAACUUCACCAUGACAGCAAGUGUGCACAGGCACAGGUGUGCAUUUAUCUGCAGAAACGUGGAAAGCUAACAGCUCUGCAGCUUACUGCCCUGACCACAGGGUGCACAGAAUUAAGCUUCUGGUUUCCACAUAGACAACACGCACCCAGUGCCAGGGCCCUGAGGCCACAACAGGCCUUAACGGUCCUGACCAGCUUCACCUGCGGCCUCCACCACACCCCCACGCACCGGGCACAUGGGCUCCAUUUAAGCUCGGCUCUGGGCCUUCAACCCCUUCCAUGAGCUGUGGUGUGGGAGCGUUGGUCUCCAGCUGAGUGCCAGCCAUGACUGCCAUGGACCCGCUGAUCCUGACCUGUGUGCUGAUGUCCCACCUUGGCCUCAGACCAGUCUCAUCACCAUGGACCUGCCUGAUGAUCUGGACUCCUGGCUGAACUUGGCUACUGCACCAGGCCUGCUCUGCUCACCUCGCUCAGAGCUUUCCACUCAGGUCCUUUUGCAGACAUGAAUCUUGAACUGUAGCUUCUUUCUGGGACCGGCAGAUGUUAACCGGAGUCCCAGCAUGGGAAACUGAGGCAGGACGACUCAUCAGGAGCUCACCAGGCAAGUCGAGGCACAGCACAGCUGAAAUCAGGAGUUUCCAGCACCCACUCAUGUGCUACCCAUCUGCAAGGGGAGGCUAGCAACUGGAGGGAGAGCUGUGGGAGCCAGACAUGAAGCUCUGGCAGUGAAUUUGCACUGAAAACCAGGAGGGCAGUCUGCUGGCUUCCUGGCCGUGCUGAGCCCCAUGAUAUACCUUCAGACUCCAGGUGCUCCCACCAGGGUGCAGUGCACAGAUACAGCUGCCAUUGUGCCAGGCUGUCCUUCAGCAGCUGCUUGGAGCUAAUGCUCUUCCCUGCUCUUUAGCUUGGGUUAUUAAUGAGCUUCAGUAAUUGAAGUAGUGUCUUGGGACCCCACCCCAAAGGAGUCUCAUGUACCAGGCACUGAGUGUAUGUGAACAUAGCUCCUACCCCAAAGCUGCUAAAUUAUUACAGAUAAGGAGUGCUUGUUUCAUCAGAAGCAAGUCAAAUUCACCUGAAAUAACCCUUAAAAGUGACACUGCAAUUAUGCACUGAGACACCUUCAAGUAAUUCUGUAUUUCCCUAUAAAAAUCACUGUAGAGGCCCUGGCAGAAAAGGUCUCCUGUUCUUGUACAUGCUAUUUCGUAUCCUAGUUGCCUUCUAGUCUGGUAUGUAGGACAAGAGACAAGUCAAGAUAUUGGAAUUUUUUUUUUUAAACCUUGUUCAUAAAUGUUCAAACAACAAAGCUCAGAAGAAGAGCAGAAGCCAGGACUCUGCAGCAGGCUCAGCGCUCCGUGAAAAAGACUCAGACCCCCUAUGUGGCUGUGGGAAGGUAACAAUAUUUUGAGCAUCGGUUUCUCAUAUGCAAAACAAGGAUGCUCAUUUUCUAUUUCAUUCGGUUGUUCUGGUUACAGCAUGUCCCCUGCUAGUGACAGUUCCACAGCACCAGGCCAGCAGGGCCAGGCCACGAGAUGCUGCUCAUACAAAUACACGAGCAGGGAGCAACUGAGGAUUUCUGCUGCUCCCCCCGAAGUCCCAUUGUACACUCAGUCCCGUCCCAUUCCUUCCUGUGAGCCUGACAUGCUUGCUCACAUGGCAACACCAGUGAGAUGUGCGAGCCCUGGGGAGGGAGAUCAGAGGCAGCAGGGGAGAUGUUCUUAGGAAGAAUCUAGUUUGCUCCUGAGAAAAGCUGGAGAAGCUACAUCUGCGUGACUAACACCUGCUUCUGGCAAAUGCUGCAGGGAGGGACCAUCUCCUGGCUUCUAACGUGCUAUCGUGCACCAUAUGCGUUUUGGGUGCUGUCCUCCAGCCCCGUGUCUCGUGGCUUCUCUUAGCCACCACCCUGAGAAAUUAGCAUUUUCUUUGUGUAGCUGCAGCAGAGGUAGGAAGCUGGUUGUGCAUCUCCAGCUAUGAGCAAGCAGAAUUUAAGCUAGAGUGAAGACCUGAGCUCCAUUUGCAUUCAGGAACAGCGCUCGAUUACAAACUAGACCAGAAUGAGAAUGUGAGGGAUGCUGAGCUGCUUAGUGUGCUGCUCGGUGCAGACCAGGUUUCAUGCCUCAUUUGCUAGGUGCAAUCAGGCUCCCUUCUCUUUCAGGGCAGAAAGCCCUUUGCUAGCUCAAGCCCUGGGUGCAGAUGAACCCUUCCAUUUCUCAGUGCCAGCUACUUUCAUGAACAGCCUUGCUAUGUCCUGGUCUGAGACAGUCAGGGUCUGAAAUAAUCUGCUUUAUUCCCAGGCGAGGAGACUUUCCUGUGUAGCUGUUAAUACUAUCAAUCUCCAACAGUUCCACUUGAGGAAACAUUUCUUACAGAAAGCCCAGAGUUAUUGUUGGCCUCCAAGAGCCGCACAAAAAGGACGGGUCUGCAUCUGCAAGUACCAGCAGUGCAGCCAGAACAGGCCAUUGAGCUUGGAGGGCAUCAGUUGCUGUAGGGCCACCGCAGCCCUGCCUGUAAUGCCUGUUAGCAAAGACUGGCGUGCAGGGCUCCCGGCUGAAGCAGCUUGCCUCCUUGGUAAAACCAGCAGGCAGGUCUAAUGCUCGGAGGUGGCUUGUAAGGGAUUUUCUAGAGCAUGCAAUUCCCAUUGAAUUUAGAAGGAAUCAUGGUUGUUCUGAACAACACACAGGGAACGUAAAUGGGUUUAGAAACUUGCCCAGGAGCGUUUCUGUAAUACAACAACAGCCAACGAGGAAGGGAGCGCACACCUCUGCUGCCAGGCUGUCUGUGGGCAGGGGUCAGUCACAUGCAAACACUGCCCCGAUGCGAAGGUACCGAGCAGAGCCAGGCGCAGUGCAGCUGGCACCCGCUUCUCACCACGUUGUCCUUUGUUAAAAAUUACUGAACACUAAUGAAAUCGCCAAUAGACUGUGGUGACCUUCCUCUGUGGCAGUCCCCAAAUCUAAAGGAAGGUCUCUGGGUUCUCAAGCUGUCUGUAAAAUCUUAUUCUCCAAUUUGGAAACAAGACUUACUAGAUGAGAGUAAAAAAUCAGUGCUAAUUGUGUCAUUUACAAAACUAAGAAUAUUAAACAGUUCAAGGACUCUUUUAGCCUCGGGGGAGCUAAUGAGGUUAGUGAAUCAUGAUGAGAAACAUAGCCCAAGUUUAGAUAGCAGGAAGUAUGCACAAGGAGGGUUUUGUGGCAUCAGUAUUUAUCACCAAAACUGCACCAGAGCAUCACAGCUGAGCACUUGGCCAAGGCAAGCAGCUUGGGCUUGGAUGCAGGGAAACGAGAGUGGAGACCGGCAUUGCCCUAGGCAAAAACAGGGGAAGAACCUAAUGUUCCAGGUCUGGGAGCUUAGACCUUGUAAUCGUUAACCACAGGAGGCCGCAGCAGGAUUGAACCAGCCCACAGUGCCUUGGGAUCACUGAACCUUAGCAGCUGAUUUUGCAGUAGGUGCAGGACAGAAGUGCCCUACUCAAAGCAAAGGUCCCAAUGCCACAUUUUCUGCUCUCUAACAGGAGAGGUUGGUGUGUUUAUGGGGUCCCACUGAUUCCUCAGGAAUCAGUACCUGAAAGCCCUUAAAGGAUUAAACCAGGCAUUAAGCAUGGAGCUGUACAGUCUGCAAACAGCUGCCUGUGGCAGCCCGUCCUGGAUAGCAAGCUGCCUGCUUGGGCACGGUGCAGACCCCCAGCAGCUCUCGGUGAGGCGGCAGGUAUUGAUGGCAGACACCAGCAUUUGGGCCACUCCUACUACAUGUGCCUGAACAGUAAGCACCCUCCUGGAGCCAGCUCUGAGUGCCUACUCCUCCCACCACGCUACAUCUAGUCUUAACAUAUCUCACUGCUCUUCCACCUGUCGCAAAAAUAAGCUGUUUUUAGAAGAAACCUCUGGAGCUCAGAGGGUUUGUUGGGAUAGCUGGGGGUAUGUCAGACUUGACCGUGCAGGUGGCCGUGAUUCAGGGCCGUGAUGCUCUCUGCAAUGCAAGAGGCCACAUCCUCCUCUCCAGCAGACCCACUGCAUGGUGGUAAAGCAUGACCAGCAGCAGCAGUGACAGAAGGAUGGAGGAAGGGGGAAGUGACUCAGGUGUCCUGAAAACAGUCAGGCGGUUGCCAAUUAGUCCAAGCAACCCAUCUGGCCCAUGGAAAGGCCAUUUGGAGAAUGUCUAAUCACUGCUGCAGGAAAAAAAAGAAAAACAUUGCAUGAUGCCUAUUAAAAAUCCCUGUUCCCUCAUCAAAGUAUUCCUCCCUCCAGGGACUCGUUCAAGAUUUUUAUUCUGUAGAUUUAUCAUGGAGUUAUUUAGUGAAAACAUGAAGUAACUUGUCACUGUAUUAUGUUAAGCAGUAUGGAUUCUGCUUGCCUUCGGGCCUCAUUUAGUACAGAGCUAAAGAAGAACGAAGAAAGCAAGUGCAGAACCAAGCUCUUGUUUGCAAAUCUUAUUUUGCUAGGCUCAACUUUGCUUUGUGGUCAUGGUCUCCCAGGUCUCCCUCUCCUCAGAACAGUGAUCUAUAAAGUAUGAAGGACUCUUGUGCUAGACAACAAUCAGUACAGCAUCUACAAAGGCAGCAGGUCUAGCCUUUCUCCCAUGGAGACACAGCCUAAGAACCAGUAAGGCUGCAGUCAAAGCACUAGGUUACAUUAUUUUGUCAGAAAUCAAGGAGUGUACUCCUUAGAUGCACGAGGAGGGUCUCUCCAAUCCACCAGCAUAGCGGAGGCACUCCAUGCCAUGGUCAACCCCAGUUUAUGUGCCCUUGCUCACACAGUUGUCACUCAGAUUAAGGCACCUCCUCAUUAACGAGCUAGUCCAAUGUGCUUGCAGCCACUCUGGUUGCCAUCUCAAUUACAUUUUUUCAGACACCAAUAAAGAAGCAGCUUUGAGUCAUGGCUGAUUGCUCUACACCAGAAUGUAAUUUGAAAGCCAUUAUAUUUCA
Molecule: long non-coding RNA, 6090 nt
Organism: Cygnus olor (mute swan)
Lineage: Eukaryota; Metazoa; Chordata; Aves; Anseriformes; Anatidae
Exons: 3
Source: RefSeq, a predicted model, not a curated record